UGAGCAAUCUGCCCUUCUUAUCGGAAUAAGCGUUGGAAACGACGUCUAAUGCCGAAUACGACCUCCUUUCGCAUGAUCGGAGGUGGAAAGCUCCGGCGGAGAAGGAUGAGCUCGCGGCCUAUCAGCUAGUUGGUGUGGGUAACGCCCACCAAGGCGACGACGGGUAGCCGGCCUGAGAGGGUGACCGGCCACACUGGGACUGAGACACGGCCCAGACUCCGUACGGGAGGCAGCAGG
Molecule: ribosomal RNA, 237 nt
Filed under: uncultured bacterium
Lineage: Bacteria
Description: partial 16S ribosomal RNA
Rfam family: Bacterial small subunit ribosomal RNA
Source: RNAcentral